GUGAUAGUAGCUCAGCUAGUAGAGCGCCGCUCUGUGGAAGCGGAGGUCGUGGGGGCAGAACCCAUCUAUCACCCCA
This 76-nucleotide transfer RNA is filed under the name bacterium. RNAcentral describes it as "tRNA-His". It matches the Rfam family "tRNA". Rfam says of the family: Transfer RNA (tRNA) molecules are approximately 80 nucleotides in length. Their secondary structure includes four short double-helical elements and three loops (D, anti-codon, and T loops). The record is from RNAcentral.